Molecule: long non-coding RNA, 2590 nt
Filed under: Eucalyptus grandis
Lineage: Eukaryota; Viridiplantae; Streptophyta; Magnoliopsida; Myrtales; Myrtaceae
Description: long non-coding RNA (EGRA_LNC007557)
Source: RNAcentral
CUUCUCUCUCUCUUCUCUCUCUUCUCCCCACCCCACGUGACCGAACCCACCUCCCUCUUUCUUCUUCUCCUUUUCUUCUUUGUGGAACAAGCAAACUGAAGGAGAAGCUGAGGUGAAGACAGUAGCUCACCAAGACAGCAGCCAGCCGUCGUCGCCGCCCACGCACCGCCGCAGCUCGCCGCCAGGCCGUCGCCCCGCCGUCCGCGCUCCGCCCCGCGUCCAUCCCCUCGCGCCCAGUCCUCCCCCGUGCGAUUUCAGCUGCUGUCCAGCUCGGUUCUGCACCGACCAGCCACCUCCGGCCAUCGCCUACCUCCGUCCGACCACCUCGCAGCUCCCCGGCGUUCCCCUCACCUUCCGCCGGCCUUCCCUCGCCGUUUUGGCCGCCGGAGCAGCCCCGAUCAGCCCCGUCCGGCAAACCCGCGAGUGGGUUUCCAGCUGGUUCAAGGCCGUUUUGGGCCGUUUCCGAGCCUCGGAUCCGUGAAUCGCUUUGGGAACAAUCGUUCCUCGUGUCGCCACCGUCGGAUUGAUCCGAUUUGCGCGCGAUUCGGUGAGUAAUCUCACUAAUCAUGGAUUAGUUGGCUAAUUAUGCUUAAGGUUGGUUUAGAUUUAAUUAAUUAUGCUUAGGUUGUUAGAUUAGAAUAAAUUAGCAAUUAUUAGUCAAUUGUGAUGCGAUUUAAAUAAAUUGAUUGCGCAAUUAACAAGUAGACGUGGUCUACUAAUUAUUGGAAGUGCCUCGGGAUUUUUCCCGACCCUUAGUGGGCUCCAAUUAGGCUUUUCGGGCCUAAGUGGAAUUUUUAGUAUUUAAAUAUUAAAUUUUGGAAUUUAAUUAAAUAAUUAUUUAUUUUCCGAAAAUUCAACUGAGAUGUCUCGGGACCGGAAUAUUAUGCUGAUGACCGUGGUGAAGUCCAUUUAUUUAAUCGGGCUUUAUUUUGAGCUAAAUUGAAUUUUUAAUAUUAAUUAUUUAAUUUUCGAAAUUAAUAAAUUAAUUAUUAUUUUUCGGAAAUUANNNNNNNNNNNNNNNNNNNNNNNNNNNNNNNNNNNNNNNNNNNNNNNNNNNNNNNNNNNNNNNNNNNNNNNNNNNNNNNNNNNNNNNNNNNNNNNNNNNNAUUUUGAUGGCCGACGACCGAAAUCUCGUGUUGAUCGUCGUGACGCAGUCCGUUUAUUUAUUUGAGCUCCACGUUGUAUGGAAUUGAAUAAAUUGUGAUAUUUUAGGGAUUUACCCUAAAUUGAUUGGAAUUGAUUGAGAUUGAAUUGUUGAUUGGUAAAUGGCCAAGUAUGUUUAUUCAGCAUUUAUAGUGCUUUGUUGAGUUGUAAAUUGAGUAGAAUGAUGAGAGUGAAUCAGAAGUACUCUGGGAUUGAACCAAUCAGACACGGUGUAUGGACCUACGUGGUUCGGUGAUUGGGACAUCACUGGCGAAAACGGCGCCUUAAAGAACGCACGUAUCGGUCUAGUACAUACAUUAUUGUGGACCUACGUGGUUCGGUGAUUGGGAUAUCACUAGCGAAAACGGCGCCUUAAAGAACGCACGUAUCUGUCUAGUACUCAUAUUGUUAUAGGCAUGUAUGGUUCGGUGACUAAGGGUGUCACUGGCGAAAACGGCGCCUUAAAGAACGCAUACACUUGUCUAUUAAAUACAUUGUUAUAGGCAUGUGUGGUUCGGUGAUUAUGGAACUCACUGGCGAAAACGGCGCCUUAAAGAACGCACACAAUUGUCUAUUCAGUACAUGGUUAUAGGCAUGCCUGGUUCGGUGAUAAGGACAUCACUGGCGAAAACGGCGCCUUAAAGAACGCACGCAAUUGUCUAUUGAUCAAAUCAUUGUAGGCAUGUGUGGUUCGGUGAUUUGGGAUAUCACUGGCGAAAACGGCGCCUUAAAGAACGCACACAGUUGUCUAGUGGAUACGUCACCUUGGCGAAGUUGACGCCCGAGAGCAUUGAUGUGGCUCUGUGACCGAGUACUCGAUGAAAGAAUAUAUGGUGUGGAAUCAAUGACCUAGAAUGGUCCGUCUGACAUGUAAUCGACUAGGUCGAUUGAUCCUUGCUUUGAUUUGAUAUUGUGAAUUGAUUGACUGAAUGGAAAUGACCGUGAGUGGUCUUGUUGGCAUAUAAUCGACUAGGUCGAUUUGAUCGAUGCUUCGAUCAGUGAUAUAAUUGCUUGGGUGCCUAUUAUGAAUUGUACUGACUUGCAUGCGGAAUAUGAGGCCAAGGUAAGUCUUCUGCCCUGUACGUGUUUAGGCAGCCUGUAGUAUAAUAGUUUACUAAUUGGGCUUAGUGGGGUAGAACUCGCUGAGACGUAGUCUCAUCCCAGUUUGGGGAAAACAUUUCAGGACCUCGGUGAGAAGCUGAAGAGGAGUCUAAGAAGGAGAACUCGGAGGUGAAACUUAAGGAGAAAGAUUUUUGGGAGAAGAUGAUAAUCCCGAGAAGGGCCUUGAGUACGGCCCGGAUGGCUGAGAGUUUAUUUUCUUUUGAGAUCUCCUUUUUGAUGUGAUUAAAGUUUAGAGUAAAAAGUUGUAGAGUGCUCUGGUUUGUGUUUUGUAUAAAAGUUUGGUUAUAAAUUUCAAUAUGAAAAAUAUGGCCCUGCUUUUCUAUCC